This 906-nucleotide long non-coding RNA is filed under the name Pongo abelii (Sumatran orangutan). Its description in RNAcentral is "lincRNA". The record is from RNAcentral. Lineage: Eukaryota; Metazoa; Chordata; Mammalia; Primates; Hominidae.
AUACCGGGUCUCGCACUGUCACCCAGGCUGGAGUACAGUGGCACAACCUCUGCUCACUGCAGCCUCCACCUGCCAGGCUCAAGCAAUUCUCCUGCCUCAGCCUCCCGAGUAGCUGGGAUUACAGGAAGUGACUUCACAAUGACUCAAGCUACCAUAUACUGUUGAUUGUGAAAUGCCAGUUGAAGCAUAUGUCCUGUGAGCUUAGGGGUGCUACAGGUUGACCACUGCAGCAGUAAAGAUGACUCUGAAGAAUGGCAUGGGAUGGAUCCUUUCGAAUGCACUUGAGCAGCGGUCUCCAACCACAGGGCCACAGAGCUGGAGCUGGAUCUGCCAUGAACGACUUCUGAAUCCAGGAAGAGAGACUGACUGGGCAACAUGUUAUUCAGAAUCUCCCUGUGUCAUCCAGGCUGGAGUGCAGUUAUGUGAUCAUAGCUCACUAUAGCUUUGGCCUUCUGAGAUCAAGCGAUCCUCCCAUCUCAACCUCCCAAGUAGGUAGGACUACACAUGCAUGUCACCCAUGCCCAGCUCAUUUUUGUAGAGUCGGAGUUUCACCAUGGUGGCCAGGUUGGCCGUGUUGGCCAGAUGGGGUCUUCUUUUGUUGCCCAGGCUGGCCGCAAAUUCCUGGGCUCAAGUGAUCCUCCCACCUCUUCCUUGUAGAGAUGGAUUUAGUUAUGUCGUCCAGGCUGAUCUCAAACUCCUGGGCUAAAUCGAGGUCUCCCUCUGUUGUCCAAGGCUGGAGUGUAGUAGUGCUAUCACAGCUGACUGCAGCCUCAACCUUCCAGGCUGAAGCGAUCCUCCCAUCUCAACCUCCCACGUGGCUGAGACUAUAGGUGCUUGCCACUAUGCCCAGCUAAUAUUUGGAAUUUUCCUAUACGUGGAUUCCAGAGGGGUGACAGCGAAACGUGA